GACGAGGGCGCGAGGCGUGUCCGGAUUUAUUGGGCGUAAAGAGCUCGUAGGCGGCUUGUCGCGUCGACUGUGAAAUCCCGCGGCUCAACCUCGGGCCUGCAGUGGGUACGGGGCAGACUAGAGUGCGGUAGGGGAGAUUGGAAUUCCUGGUCGUAGCGGUGAAAUGCGCAGAUAUCAGGAGGAACACCGGUGGCGAAGGCGGAUCUCUGGGCCAUUACUGACGCUGAGGAGCGAAAGCGUGGGGAGCGAACAGG
RNAcentral lists this ribosomal RNA (254 nucleotides) under uncultured bacterium. RNAcentral describes it as "partial 16S ribosomal RNA". It matches the Rfam family "Bacterial small subunit ribosomal RNA", at positions 524 to 776 of the family's 1533-position model. The record is from RNAcentral.